CACGUAGGGCGCAAGCGUUGUCCGGAAUUAUUGGGCGUAAAGAGCUCGUAGGCGGCCUGUUGCGUCCGCUGUGAAAACUCGGGGCUUAACCCCGAGCCUGCAGUGGAUACGGGCGGGCUAGAGGUAGGUAGGGGAGAAUGGAAUUCCCGGUGUAGCGGUGAAAUGCGCAGAUAUCGGGAGGAACACCGGUGGCGAAGGCGGUUCUCUGGGCCUUACCUGACGCUGAGGAGCGAAAGCGUGGGGAGCGAACAGG
Molecule: ribosomal RNA, 253 nt
Filed under: uncultured bacterium
Lineage: Bacteria
Description: partial 16S ribosomal RNA
Rfam family: Bacterial small subunit ribosomal RNA
Source: RNAcentral